RNAcentral lists this ribosomal RNA (1037 nucleotides) under Cocoicola californica. Its description in RNAcentral is "bacterial SSU rRNA". It matches the Rfam family "Eukaryotic small subunit ribosomal RNA", at positions 82 to 1088 of the family's 1831-position model. The record is from RNAcentral. Lineage: Eukaryota; Fungi; Ascomycota; Sordariomycetes; Phyllachorales; Phyllachoraceae.
GCGAACUGCGAAUGGCUCAUUAAAUCAGUUAUCGUUUAUUUGAUAGUACCUUACUACAUGGAUAACCGUGGUAAUUCUAGAGCUAAUACAUGCUAAAAACCCCAACUUCGGAAGAGGGUGUAUUUAUUAGAUUAAAAACCAAUGCCCUUCGGGGCAUCCUGGUGAUUCAUAAUAACUUCACGAAUCGCACGGCCUUGCGCUGGCGAUGGUUCAUUCAAAUUUCUGCCCUAUCAACUUUCGACGGCUGGGUCUUGGCCAGCCGAGGUGACAACGGGUAACGGAGGGUUAGGGCUCGACCCCGGAGUGGAGCCUGAUAAAGGGCUACCCCAUCCRAGGAAGGCAGCAGGAGCGCUAAUUACCCCAUCCCGACCCGGGGAGGUAGUAAUUAUAAAUACCGAUAUAGGGGAGGUUGGGGCCAUAAAUUUGGAAACAGGACUAUUUUAGUUCCUUAAAUAGGAAUGAUUGGAAGUUAAGUCCCGUAACGAGAACCAAUGGAAGGGCAACUCCGGAUACCGCAGCCGCAAUAUUUUCAGCUCCAAAUAGCGUAUAUUAAAGUUGUUGAGCUUAAAAAGCUCGGAGUUGCACCCUCGGGCCGUGGCUGGCCGGGUCCGCCCUUUCCGCUGUGCGCGGGUCCGGCCGGGCCCUUUUCCGUCUGUGGGGAGGCGCAUGUCCCUUUAUUUGGGUGUGUCGGGGAACCCAGGACUUUUACUCCUGAACAAAUCAGAUCGCUUUAAAGAAAGGCCUAUGCUCGAAUGCGUUAUGCAUGGAAUAAUAGAAUUAGGACGUGUGGUUCUAUUUUGUUGGUUUCUAGGACCGCCGUAAUGAUUAAUAGGGAGCAGUCGGGGGCAUCAGUAUUCAAUUGUCAGAGGUGAAAUUCUUGGAUUUAUUGAAGACAUAACUAUCUGCGAAAGCAUUUGCCAAGGAUGUUUUCAUUAAAUCAGGAGCGAAAGUUAGGGGAUCGAAGACGAUCAGAUACCGUCGUAGUCUUAACCAUAAACUAUGCCGAUUAGGGAUCGGACGGUGUUCUUUUGUGACCU